RNAcentral lists this ribosomal RNA (253 nucleotides) under uncultured bacterium. RNAcentral describes it as "partial 16S ribosomal RNA". It matches the Rfam family "Bacterial small subunit ribosomal RNA", at positions 524 to 776 of the family's 1533-position model. The record is from RNAcentral.
UACGGGGGGGGCAAGCGUUGUUCGGAAUUACUGGGCGUAAAGGGUGCGUAGGUGGCGCCGUAAGUCGGGUGUGAAAUUUCGGAGCUUAACUCCGAAACUGCAUUCGAUACUGCGGUGCUUGAGGACUGGAGAGGAGACUGGAAUUCAUGGUGUAGCAGUGAAAUGCGUAGAGAUCAUGAGGAAGACCAGUGGCGAAGGCGGGUCUCUGGACAGUUCCUGACACUGAGGCACGAAGGUCAGGGGAGCAAACGGG